UAGAGGAUCCAAAACCCCCUUUUACGCGUCUGGAUCCUCUGGAGUUGGAGAAAACUCUACAAAAUAGAGUUGAGAAGAUCUUGGCCUUCUAUUAUAUUUAAUGGCUGAGAUUUUCUCUACUAACUCAACUAAUUAAAAAAAGUAAAAAAAAAUAAAGAAAAUAAAAUCAUUAUACGAUGAAAAGAUAAAACAUCUGGGAAGGAAUUUCCCUAAUGUUCUUGUUUAAUUGUUGAGGGAUUUGAAGAUGAUAGAGAUCGAUAAUACAACACCAAUUCGAUGUGGGCACCGUCGCCAUCAUCUAAUCUCUCACAACUCAACAUCUUCACAAAAGAAGAUGAAAUCAUUAUCUCUCUAUCUCUCAAGAUUUACGCCUAAUUCUCAAAUACUCCGUACCAGUCUCCAUAUUAAUCACAGAAAACUACAAAUCUACAAUCAUCUGCCAUGGUGUUUCAUCCCUGUCGGAUCACCUCGUCGGAACUGCAUUUCGUUCAGGCAUAUUCCGGUAAAGCGGUGUCUACCUAAAUCCCAGAUUCAACUGGGCUAGAUUGAGUAAUACGAAGGUGACCCAUUUGCAAUUGGUUGGUUGAAUGAGAUACUGUAGUAUUUAAAUGUGUAUGAUGUUUUAUGAUACCUCAUAUGCCACUCAAAUUGCCUUAUUAGCUACUGAUAUGUUCUUUUUGGCUAAAUUACUUGCGUGAGUAUGCUUCAAACUCUUUGGUUUGCAAGAGUUGCAACCAUCGUUUUCUUAAUCUAGCCUAUUAGCUCAAUAUGGGAGAGCAUACUAGUAGAAAAAACCCCUGUUGCAGCCCAGCCCUGCAUAGGCUACAGAAAAAAGAAGUAUGUAUGUAGGUUCAAAUCAUGCAUAGGCUACAGAAAAAAGAAGUAUGUAUGUAGUGAAGAGAGAUGGGCGACAGGGGAACGUUCAUGUCGAUAAGAUUACUGCAAGGUUGAAGAAAUUGAGUUAUGGUCUGAGUACCGAUCACGGUGAUCCUAUUCUUGUCUCCCAGAAGGUUUGUGCUUGUGUUUAUGAGGGUGUUGCUACUAGAAUAUAUUAGCUUCUCUUACUUACAAUGGCUGCUCGAAGUUACGACUUCAAUGUUCAUCGGUAUAUGCAGGCAAUUGUGUCGAUUGUGUAUAUAGAGGGAUACAGAUUGUUGCUUCAAUUUUUUUUUUUAGAAAAAUAAAAACUUAUGGCCACAAGCCUUCAAUCGUAA
This is a long non-coding RNA of Spinacia oleracea (spinach), 1214 nucleotides long. RefSeq lists it as uncharacterized. Lineage: Eukaryota; Viridiplantae; Streptophyta; Magnoliopsida; Caryophyllales; Amaranthaceae. The record is from RefSeq and is a predicted model, not a curated record. The transcript is spliced from 2 exons.